UUCCUUUAGCCCCCACGUAAGAUCUUGAUGCUUACACUGAGCGACCCCAAACUUCUCUCAUUUUCCAACCAUGAUAGAAGCCACCGGGACCUUGAACAUGAUUUUAGGAAACUUUUCCAAUCCUGCCCUUUUCCUGGUUGAACAGAAAUGGAAAAAUCUUCAGUGCUUCCUCCUAGUGUCCUGGCUGGAUGACCAGGUGGCUCCAGAGAAAGCCACACCCGAAGAGAGACAAGCUGCUGCGUAAACAUCGACUUCGGAAAAACCUACCCUCUCAUGCUGGGACACCAGGAGAAGAAAAUUCACCAAAGGGGAAUAAGAGAUAAGCAUACCCUGAGCAAGACUGGAUUCUGCCUUUGGACUACAGGCUCCUGGAGAACUCGACCACCUGACAUCUUCCUUCCAUAUUUGUUUUCUGCUGCCUUUCUACGAUCAAGUUCCUGUAAAGGCCCCACACAAUCUAUCCCUAAUCCAUCUGGCCAGCCUUACCUCCCAAUACAGCCCAUUCUUCUCUUUUCCUCGACCCCCACAUCCGUCCCCUCAGAAAUUCCUCCUGUCAUUCUGUGAAAUAUACCUCAUGACGACCCCUGCCAGUCUACCAAGAGAGUGCCAAGGCGCCUCAUUCUCCGCUGGAUGCUGCCGUCAUCCGGGAUUACAGCUGAUCUCAAGGCCUCCAGUCUACAUUCACGUGUGCUUUUUAAUAUAUCAGUAGAUGUGUCUACCUCAGAAACUUUCUCAGUGAAAAGGUCUUGUUUUUCUUCUUUAUUAGAUUUUGUCACAUACCGAACACAAUAAAUACAAUACAUAUAAUAAAGGACA
RNAcentral lists this long non-coding RNA (816 nucleotides) under Felis catus (domestic cat). RNAcentral's name for it is "lncRNA (ENSFCAG00000045913.2)". Lineage: Eukaryota; Metazoa; Chordata; Mammalia; Carnivora; Felidae. The record is from RNAcentral.